This 22-nucleotide microRNA is filed under the name Homo sapiens (human). RNAcentral's name for it is "hsa-miR-6881-5p". The record is from miRBase by way of RNAcentral. Lineage: Eukaryota; Metazoa; Chordata; Mammalia; Primates; Hominidae.
UGGGGUAAGGAUAGGAGGGUCA